This 540-nucleotide ribosomal RNA is filed under the name Colletotrichum sp. T25. Its description in RNAcentral is "eukaryotic LSU rRNA". The stretch from base 179 to 332 matches the Rfam family "5.8S ribosomal RNA". Lineage: Eukaryota; Fungi; Ascomycota; Sordariomycetes; Glomerellales; Glomerellaceae. The record is from RNAcentral.
UGGGCCAUUUUGACUUACGCUCUAUACCCUUUGUGACAUACCUAUAACUGUUGCUUCGGCGGGUAGGGUCUCCGCGACCCUCCCGGCCUCCCGCCUCCGGGCGGGUCGGCGCCCGCCGGAGGAUAACCAAACUCUGAUUUAACGACGUUUCUUCUGAGUGGUACAAGCAAAUAAUCAAAACUUUUAACAACGGAUCUCUUGGUUCUGGCAUCGAUGAAGAACGCAGCGAAAUGCGAUAAGUAAUGUGAAUUGCAGAAUUCAGUGAAUCAUCGAAUCUUUGAACGCACAUUGCGCCCGCCAGCAUUCUGGCGGGCAUGCCUGUUCGAGCGUCAUUUCAACCCUCAAGCUCUGCUUGGUGUUGGGGCCCUACAGCUGAUGUAGGCCCUCAAAGGUAGUGGCGGACCCUCCCGGAGCCUCCUUUGCGUAGUAACUUUACGUCUCGCACUGGGAUCCGGAGGGACUCUUGCCGUAAAACCCCCCAAUUUUCCAAAGGUUGACCUCGGAUCAGGUAGGAAUACCCGCUGAACUUAAGCAUAUCAU